This 73-nucleotide transfer RNA is filed under the name Clostridioides difficile. Its description in RNAcentral is "tRNA-Glu". It matches the Rfam family "tRNA". From Rfam's summary of the family: Transfer RNA (tRNA) molecules are approximately 80 nucleotides in length. Their secondary structure includes four short double-helical elements and three loops (D, anti-codon, and T loops). Further hydrogen bonds mediate the characteristic L-shaped molecular structure. tRNAs have two regions of fundamental functional importance: the anti-codon, which is responsible for specific mRNA codon recognition, and the 3' end, to which the tRNAs corresponding amino acid is attached (by aminoacyl-tRNA synthetases). tRNAs cope with the degeneracy of the genetic code in two manners: having more than one tRNA (with a specific anti-codon) for a particular amino acid; and 'wobble' base-pairing, i.e. permitting non-standard base-pairing at the 3rd anti-codon position. The record is from RNAcentral. Lineage: Bacteria; Bacillati; Bacillota; Clostridia; Peptostreptococcales; Peptostreptococcaceae.
GGCUCGUUGGUCAAGAGGUUAAGACACCGCCCUUUCACGGCGGUAACAGGGUUCAAUUCCCUACGAGUCACCA